Apis dorsata (giant honeybee) is the source of this 258-nucleotide long non-coding RNA. RefSeq lists it as uncharacterized. The transcript has 3 exons. Lineage: Eukaryota; Metazoa; Arthropoda; Insecta; Hymenoptera; Apidae. The record is from RefSeq and is a predicted model, not a curated record.
CCAGCCAGCUAGCCAACCAACCAGCCAACCAACCAGCCAUCCAUCUAUCCAGUCAACUAUCCAGUUAACUAGACAGGCAGCAAACCAGUUAGCCUUUCAUCCAGUCUGCGAUUCGAAUUUUUCAAUCAACUAUUAAUGGAAUCUUAGUAUCUUAUAACUGGUAGUAAAAGUGCCUCAUUAUCAUGACAAUAUAAUGUCGACCUCAUUUUGAAGAUACUUCAACUAAUUAUAAGUGUUUUGUUAUCUUGGAAAAUUUUU